CAAUAGCGUAUAUUAAAGUUGUUGCAGUUAAAAGCUCGUAGUUGGAUUUCUGGCAGGAGUGACCGGCCGCACACACUGUGUGUGAGUUGCGUCAUUCUGGCCAUCCUUGGUGAGAUCCUGUUUGGCAUUAAGUUGUCGGGCAGGGGAUAACCAUCGUUUACUGUGAAAAAUUUAGAGUGUUUAAAGCAGGCUUAUGCCGUUGAAUAUAUUAGCAUGGAAUAAUAAGAUAGGACUUCGGAACUUAUUUGUUGGUUUGCGUUACGAAGUAAUGAUUAAUAGGGACAGUUGGGGGGUAUUCGUAUUUCAUUGUCAGAGGUGAAAUUCUUGGAUUUCUGAAAGACGAACUACUGCGAAAGCAUUUACCAAGGAUGUUUUCAUUAAUCAAGAACGAAAGUUAGGGGAUCGAAGACGAUUAGAU
Molecule: ribosomal RNA, 418 nt
Filed under: uncultured eukaryote
Lineage: Eukaryota
Description: SSU rRNA
Rfam family: Eukaryotic small subunit ribosomal RNA
Source: RNAcentral